Molecule: ribosomal RNA, 463 nt
Filed under: uncultured bacterium
Lineage: Bacteria
Description: bacterial SSU rRNA
Rfam family: Bacterial small subunit ribosomal RNA
Source: RNAcentral
AUUGAACGCUGGCGGUAUGCUUAACACAUGCAAGUCGAACGGUAGCAGCUCUAGCUUGCUAGAGGCUGACGAGUGGCGGACGGGUGAGUAACGCGUAGGAAUCUGCCCAUCAGUAGAGGACAACUCGGGGAAACUCGAGCUAAUACUGUAUAUUACUCUACGGAGGAAAGUAAGGGACCUUAUGGCCUUACGCUGAUGGAUGAGCCUGCGUCGGAUUAGCUAGUUGGUGGGUAAAGGCCUACCAAGGCGACGAUCCGUAGCUGUUCUGAGAGGAAGAUCAGCCACACUGGGACUGAGACACGGCCCAGACUCCUACGGGAGGCAGCAGUGGGGAAUAUUGGACAAUGGGGGCAACCCUGAUCCAGCAAUACCGCGUGUGUGAAGAAGGCCUGCGGGUUGUAAAGCUCUUUCACCUGCGAAGAUGAUGACGGUAGCAGGAGAAGAAGCCCCGGCUAACUCCGUG